RNAcentral lists this ribosomal RNA (369 nucleotides) under uncultured bacterium. RNAcentral's name for it is "bacterial SSU rRNA". It matches the Rfam family "Bacterial small subunit ribosomal RNA", at positions 28 to 389 of the family's 1533-position model. The record is from RNAcentral.
GAUGAACGCUAGCGGCAGGCUUAAUACAUGCAAGUCGAGGGGCAGCGGGGAUAGCAAUAUCUGCCGGCGACCGGCAAACGGGUGCGGAACACGUACGCAACCUUCCCGAAACAGGUGAAUAGCCCUGCGAAAGUAGGAUUAAUACACCGUAUGAUACAGGAGUGGCAUCACUCUUAUAUUAAAGGUAGCAAUACCGGUUUGGAUGGGCGUGCGCCUGAUUAGGUAGUUGGNGCGGGUAAUGGCCCACCAAGCCUUCGAUCAGUAACUGGUGUGAGAGCACGACCAGUCACACGGGCACUGAGACACGGGCCCGGACUCCUACGGGAGGCAGCAGUAAGGAAUAUUGGUCAAUGGACGAAAGUCUGAACC